RNAcentral lists this ribosomal RNA (506 nucleotides) under uncultured bacterium. RNAcentral's name for it is "partial 16S ribosomal RNA". It matches the Rfam family "Bacterial small subunit ribosomal RNA", at positions 29 to 523 of the family's 1533-position model. The record is from RNAcentral.
AGUGAACGCUGGCGGUAGGCCUAACACAUGCAAGUCGAACGGCAGCACAGGAGAGCUUGCUCUCUGGGUGGCGAGUGGCGGACGGGUGAGGAAUACAUCGGAAUCUACUCUGUCGUGGGGGAGAACGUAGGGAAACUUACGCUAAUACCGCAUACGACCUACGGGUGAAAGCAGGGGACCUUCGGGCCUUGCGCGAUUGAAUGAGCAGAUGUUGGAUUAGCUAGUUGGCGGGGUAAAGGCCCACCAAGGCGACGAUCCGUAGCUGGUCUGAGAGGAUGAUCAGCCACACUGGAACUGAGACACGGUCCAGACUCCUACGGGAGGCAGCAGUGGGGAAUAUUGGACAAUGGGCGCAAGCCUGAUCCAGCCAUACCGCGUGGGUGAAGAGGGCCUUCGGGUUGUAAAGCCCUUUUGUUGGGAAAGAAAUCCAGCUGGCUAAUACCCGGUUGGGAUGACGGUACCCAAAGAAUAAGCACCGGCUAACUUCGUGCCAGCAGCCGCCGUAA